Molecule: transfer RNA, 58 nt
Filed under: Ursus americanus (American black bear)
Lineage: Eukaryota; Metazoa; Chordata; Mammalia; Carnivora; Ursidae
Also listed under: 2 other names
Rfam family: tRNA
About the family: Transfer RNA (tRNA) molecules are approximately 80 nucleotides in length.
Source: Rfam by way of RNAcentral
UGGCUCAGUUGGUAGAGCAUGUGAUUCUUGAUCUCAGGGUUAUGAGUUCGAGCCCCAU